This 1053-nucleotide ribosomal RNA is filed under the name Triadelphia stilboidea. RNAcentral describes it as "SSU rRNA". It matches the Rfam family "Eukaryotic small subunit ribosomal RNA", at positions 51 to 1116 of the family's 1831-position model. Lineage: Eukaryota; Fungi; Ascomycota; Sordariomycetes. The record is from RNAcentral.
AUGCAUGUCUAAGUAUAAGCAAUUAUACAGCGAAACUGCGAAUGGCUCAUUAUAUAAGUUAUAGUUUAUUUGAUAGCACCUUACUACAUGGAUAACUGUGGUAAUUCUAGAGCUAAAACAUGCCAAAAAUCCCGACUUAUGGAGGGAUGUGUUUAUCAGACUAAAAACCAAUGCCCUCUGGGCUAAACGGUGAAUCAUGAUAACCAGUCGAAUCGCACGGCCUUGUGCCGGCGAUGGUUCAUUCAAAUUUCUUCCCUAUCAACUUUCGAUGCGAAGGUAUUGUCUUCGCAUGGUUACAACGGGUAACGGAGGGUUAGGGCUCGACCCCGGAGAAGGAGCCUGAGAAACGGCUACUACAUCCAAGGAAGGCAGCAGGCGCGCAAAUUACCCAAUCCCGACACGGGGAGGUAGUGACAAUAAAUACUGAUACAGGGCUCUUUUGGGUCUUGUAAUUGGAAUGAGUACAAUUUAAAUCCCUUAACGAGGAACAAUUGGAGGGCAAGUCUGGUGCCAGCAGCCGCGGUAAUUCCAGCUCCAAUAGCGUAUAUUAAAGUUGUUGUGGUUAAAAAGCUCGUAGUUGAACCUUGGGCCUGGCUGGCCGGUCCCCCUCACCGGGUGCACUGGUCCGGCCGGGCCUUUCCAUCUGUGGAACCUCAUGUCCUUUACUGGAUGUGAUGGGGAAACAGGACUUUUACUUUGAAAAAAUUAGAGUGCUCAAGGCAGGCCUAUGCUCGAAUACAUUAGCAUGGAAUAAUGAAAUAGGACGUGCGGUUCUAUUUUGUUGGUUUCUAGGACCGCCGUAAUGAUUAAUAGGGACAGUCGGGGGCAUCAGUAUUCAAUUGUCAGAGGUGAAAUUCUUGGAUCUAUUGAAGACUAACUACUGCGAAAGCAUUUGCCAAGGAUGUUUUCAUUGAUAAGGAACGAAAGUUAGGGGAUCGAAGACGAUCAGAUACCGUCGUAGUCUUAACUAUAAACUAUGCCGACUAGGGAUCGGACGGCGUUAUUACUUGACCCGUUCGGCACCUUUCGAGAAAUCAAAGUGCUUGGGCUCCA